GGGGGUGACCUAGCUUCGACAAAUGUCGUUGAUCCGAAAGUCGCAGGCAGAGGUUGGUCAGGGCCUCUUCAAAACCGGACCAAACAACAACUGCCAACACUCAGUUGGCCUGGGCCACUGCCUAAACCGCAGUGAGCACACGCUGGUCCUUGACGCCUGCUAGAGGGUCGCCAGUGUAAUGAGCAGGAUGCGGUCCUUCCCUGUUAUUCCGUGGGCGGGGGCCUAAGACCGAACGGGGUUAGCCUAAGGAGCACGCGUCCAUCGGUUUUCCUUGGGCGAAAUUGAGGAUGGGCUAAGCCUGUAGUGACUUCGGCCGGCGCCGUUUGGACGCGGGUGCAAAUCCCGCCACCUCCACCA
Molecule: transfer-messenger RNA, 357 nt
Filed under: Elusimicrobia
Lineage: Bacteria; Pseudomonadati; Elusimicrobiota
Also listed under: 1 other name
Description: GWA2-66-18 sp023213235 Standard tmRNA
Rfam family: transfer-messenger RNA
About the family: Bacterial tmRNA, also known as 10Sa RNA or SsrA, is named for its dual tRNA and mRNA-like properties.
Source: RNAcentral